UACUUUUAGCUAUAUUGCUUCUUGGCUAAGAUAAAAUCAUUUCAUGAGAUUGAACAAUGCAGAACUGGGUAGAAAAUACAUAACAUUUCCUUUCAAAAAAUAUAUACAUUAGUGGUUUCAUUUCCCAUUGGCAAAAUAUCGUGGCCCUGCCAAACAUUUGUGCAUCGAAAACAUCUCACGCACAAAGACUAAAUAAAUAUACCACAAAUCAGAUAGGCAUUUGAGAUUUGCUUCAGAGCUAGUAAUGAUUCUUCUUAGUUGCCCACAUCAUAGCUCACUGCUUAUAUUCAUGGCGAAGAUAACAAAUAAUCACCUCCAUUAACAGGAACAGAGUGCUGGCAUUUGAAAAGUGGAAACAUAGUAGUGUGUAAGAGUUUAUGACAGUGAGGACAUAAAUUGCCAAUUUAGUUUGUCCCAUAUUUCUACACAUAAAACCCGAACCCCUGCUACAUUUAGUGAAGGCAAUAUUAUACAACAAUUAGCAUGAAAAAAAGUUUCAUGAUAAAAUAAAAUGGUGAUGCAAUUUUGACUUAAUAAGGCAAGACCAGUCAGGGAGAAAGCUUUCAAAGUUAGCACGAUGAUGAACUUUUGGUCAAUAAUUGAACAUGGCAAUUCAUAAGCAUAUUAUGCAUUCUAGUUAAUAUUGCAGGUCUAUAAUAUUCAUGGUUUGGGAAGUCAGGAUAACCUGUUCCGGAACAAAGGCAUGUACGUAAACCGAACAAAUAUGACAAUGAACAGAGAAUGGUGAAAUAAAUCUUACUGAUUCCGCAAAGCUGAACAUAAUUAGAUUAAAGGUGUUGAACUGAAGUUGUUCUACAGGAGUCAAAGAAUAACGAUCUGUAAGGAUAAAUAAAGGAGGGCAUGUUCUUACUUCUAUAGAAUUGAAUGAAGAUUUUCUUCAAAGGUGGUAAUGAUUCUUCUUAGUUGCCCACACCAUAGUACUAUUUUUAGGUCCAUGCAAGACUAAGAGAAUUGAAAGGAAAAAAGGUUGAUCAUCCUUCGACUAUUUUUGCAUCAUCUUCCUUCAACUACUCAGACCUACACUUGUCAACACUCUCGGGUUCGCAUAUAUGCGGAAGUAAAUCACACCAUUAAAACAUGAGAAUGAUUGGAAGAGAACUAAUCCAGAAAAAAGCUUUCUUUACCCCGUACCUGCAAACAUCAAGAUAUUUUGACUAUUCUAAAAUAUGUUCAAACCACAUCAGUAAUUAAAAAUAGAAGAUGUAUUGAACAACAAAGAAGAUUAUGGACAUCAUCCCAUCAAAAGAGAUUUUUGCAUUUUGUAAGACUUCUUCAGAGGUCUUCAGCAAGGGGCAAUACUGUGUGUGCAAAUUUAUGCAAUCAUACAAACAAAAUGGCGCAGCAAGAGUUACCUUUAGUGGAUAGUCACAAAGAAAUUCAGUAACAUUAGUGAUUCAACCUGCUGGAGCAAAUAUGCAGCUUGAAAGUAGUAUUUGGAAUCUCGGGUGUACCUAUAUAUGCUCUUUAGUCUUGACUGUUGGUGUAUCUUCUCAUUAUAGCAGAUCAUAUGCAGUUGUCUUGAAAAACUGUUUGAAGCAACAACUCUCCUCCUCCUGACCAUGCCAACACUUUCGUUGGCCGCUGCUACUACUUGUUGCAGUGCAGCCUAAUUGAUUAGGUGGGUGGUGAUGCUAGUGCGUGGGAUAGGUGGCCGCCAAGCUCUGCAUCGAAGGAAAAGAAGAGACAUAUCAAGUGGCAUGGGUAAGCGAGGAGGGGUAGAGUAUUAAUGUUCAGAGAAGAUGUUAC
This 1767-nucleotide long non-coding RNA is filed under the name Triticum aestivum (bread wheat). RNAcentral describes it as "long non-coding RNA (TAES_LNC012471)". The record is from RNAcentral. Lineage: Eukaryota; Viridiplantae; Streptophyta; Magnoliopsida; Poales; Poaceae.